CAAGAGCGUAUGUAAAAGUUGUUGCAGUUAAAAAGCUCGUAGUUGAACCUUGGGUUUGGUUGGCCGGUCCGCUUUUUUGCGAGUACUGGAUUCAACCGAGCCUUUCCUUCUGGCUAACCAGUCGUUUCGGCGGCUGGCGAACCAGGAUUUUUACUUUGAGAAAAUUAGAGUGUUCAAAGCAGGCAUUAGCUUGAAUAUAUUAGCAUGGAAUAAUAGAAUAGGACGUUAUGGUUCUAUUUUGUUGGCUUCUAGGACCAUCGUAAUGAUUAAUAGGGACGGUCGGGGGCAUCAGUAUUCAGUUGUCAGAGGUGAAAUUCUUGGAUUUACUGAAGACUAACUACUGCGAAAGCAUUUGCCAAGGACGUUUUCAUUAA
RNAcentral lists this ribosomal RNA (374 nucleotides) under uncultured eukaryote. RNAcentral's name for it is "partial 18S ribosomal RNA". It matches the Rfam family "Eukaryotic small subunit ribosomal RNA", at positions 592 to 976 of the family's 1831-position model. The record is from RNAcentral.